UUCCUACGGGGCGCAGCAGUGAGGAAUAUUGGUCAAUGGACGCAAGUCUGAACCAGCCAUGCCGCGUGCAGGAUGACGGCUCUAUGAGUUGUAAACUGCUUUUGUACGAGGGUAAACCCCGAUACGUGUAUCGGGUUGAAAGUAUCGUACGAAUAAGGAUCGGCUAACUCCGUGCCAGCGGCCGCGGUAAUACGGAGGAUGCGAGCGUUAUCCGGAUUUAUUGGGUUUAAAGGGUGCGCAGGCGGUCUGUUAAGUCAGCGGUCAAAGCCCGGGGCUCAACCCCGGCCCGCCGUUGAAACUGGCAG
This 305-nucleotide ribosomal RNA is filed under the name uncultured bacterium. RNAcentral's name for it is "bacterial SSU rRNA". It matches the Rfam family "Bacterial small subunit ribosomal RNA", at positions 336 to 639 of the family's 1533-position model. The record is from RNAcentral.